Molecule: transfer RNA, 138 nt
Filed under: Dothistroma septosporum NZE10
Lineage: Eukaryota; Fungi; Ascomycota; Dothideomycetes; Mycosphaerellales; Mycosphaerellaceae
Description: tRNA-Cys for anticodon GCA
Rfam family: tRNA
About the family: Transfer RNA (tRNA) molecules are approximately 80 nucleotides in length.
Source: Rfam by way of RNAcentral
GGUCGAUUAGCUCAGUUGGUUAGAGCGUAAGUUGAGCCGCAACGUCAAGAUAUUUCCAACAACGUCUGACAAGGUUCCAGGUGGUGCUAAUAGUCAAUGUUAACGCCAAGGUCGCGGGUUCGACCCCCUCAUUGACCA